This is a regulatory RNA element of Pontibaca methylaminivorans, 94 nucleotides long. It matches the Rfam family "Rhodo-rpoB RNA". The record is from Rfam. NCBI's taxonomy places the organism in Bacteria, Pseudomonadati, Pseudomonadota, Alphaproteobacteria, Rhodobacterales, Roseobacteraceae.
GGAUCGGGAGAUCGCCGGCCGGGACGGCGAUCAUGAAUUGAUCCGAACCCGCCCUCUCGGAUGGGCAGGAAGCCGAGGCCCGACGGUUUUCCUG